This 598-nucleotide long non-coding RNA is filed under the name Homo sapiens (human). RNAcentral describes it as "HSALNT0356538". The record is from RNAcentral. Lineage: Eukaryota; Metazoa; Chordata; Mammalia; Primates; Hominidae.
CAAGGAUCCAGCAAUAGUCAGGGACGUGCGUCUCUGGAUUCUCAUCACUCGGAACCCCGAGACCUGCCCUCACCUGCUACCAGCCUGCCACAGACAACCAGCUGGCAAACAAAUGCCUUAGAAAGUCCACGUGGUGAAGCCCAGGCGAUCAUUCCUGGCACAUUCCAGUUGCACACUUCUGGUGGCGACCUCGGAAUCCCUGCAAGCCUCUUUGACUCCAAAUGGGUUUCUACUUCCCAUUAGUGGCAACCCUGCCUUGUGAUCAAAUUUGACGCCGACGGUGUUUCCUGAGCUGGGGAGUUUGCAGAUCUGAUCUGUCAGCGGGGACUGAGAGCAAAUCGGGACAUUCAUCAUGACUUUGGCUGCCAAGCUGGAAGACUUUGAGCUGACACUGGAGCACCUGCUCAUGGAUGUGUUUGUGAUCCUGAGAUCCAAAAGGCAAGGACACCUUUGUAACCUCCAUGGCACCUAGAAUAUUGUAUACAAGGACCUCAAUAGAUACAUAUCAAUCGCUUGAGUUUUAACUAGUAUAUUUUUACUGUUAUUGUAAAAUUUAACUUUUGCUGGGAGCAAUAAAAUGCAAAAAAAAACGCAGAAA